UACAGAGGGUGCGAGCGUUGUUCGGAAUUACUGGGCGUAAAGCGCGCGCAGGCGGCCUUUUAAGUCUGACGGUGAAAUGCCGGGGCCCAACCCCGUGCCCGCCGGAGAUACUGGGAGGCUGGAGACGAGUUGAGGCAAGCGGAAUUCCGGGUGUAGCGGUGGAAUGCGUAGAGAUCCGGAAGAACACCGGAGGCGAAGGCGGCUUGCUGGCUCAUGUCUGACGCUGAGGCGCGAAAGCGUGGGGAGCGAACAGG
RNAcentral lists this ribosomal RNA (254 nucleotides) under uncultured bacterium. Its description in RNAcentral is "partial 16S ribosomal RNA". It matches the Rfam family "Bacterial small subunit ribosomal RNA", at positions 524 to 776 of the family's 1533-position model. The record is from RNAcentral.